AAUACCUGAAACUAAGCAAUGGAUAAAGAAGAAAAACGUAUUUCAUGUAAUUCUGGAGGCUUGGGAAAUCAAGGUCAAGAGGGAACAUCUGGUGAGAGCCUUCUUGCUGACAGAGUCUGUCACCAGGCUGGAGUGCAGUGGUGUGAUCUCGGUUCACUGUAACCUCUGCCUCCCAGGUUUCAAGCAAUUCUCCUGCCUCAGCCUCCCAAGUAGCUAGGACUACAGGCAUGCACCACCAUGCCCAGCUAAUUUUUGUAUUUUUAAUAGAAACAAGGUUUCACCAUGUUGGCCAGGGUGGUCUCAAUCUCCUGACUUCGUGAUCCACCCACCUUGGCCUCCCAAAGUGCUGAGAUUAUAGGCGUGAGCCACUGUACUCAGCCAUAUCUUUUUAAUUCGCGUAUUAAAUUCCAUUUGGAAUUCAUAUUCAUGUUUGAAAUUAGGAAGAGGUUUAACUAUAUACACACACAAAACACACAUUGACAUAUAUUUACAAAUAAACAAUUGUAUAAAUUCCUUUAUUGAAAAACUCGUAUUUUCCAAGUUGGUUGAGUCACCAUUAUCAUAUAUUAAAUGAUCAUACAUGUAUGGUUCUGCUUAUAUUUAUUUCUCUACACUAGGUAGAAUAUUUAAUAAUGUUGGAACAGAUACCACUGUCUUGUUCUGGCCUUAUUAAAAAUGUCUUUAUACUCGAGAAGCAAUAUGAUGUUUGAUAUUGAUCUUAGAUAAUUAUGUUUCAUAAUAUUCAGAAAUUCAUUUAGUCCAAUUGUAUCUUGGUAAUUUUAUAAAAAAUGUGUGCUGUAUAUUAUCAAUAUUUUUGUGUCUACUAUAUAUUCAUAAUUUCUCCCCAUUAUUUGCUAACUUGAUGAUAAAUGUUUGUUUUCUCAUACUUAUCCAUCCUUGAAUUGCUAAAAUUGAAUAUGUUUGGUCACAUUUUUGCAUUUCUAAUGGGGCAUGGAUACAUCUGUUACAAAUUUAGAUGCUAUAUUUAACUAUGAAAAAAUGUUUUUUAAUAAAGGACCCA
This 1021-nucleotide long non-coding RNA is filed under the name Homo sapiens (human). RNAcentral's name for it is "HSALNT0040540". The record is from RNAcentral. Lineage: Eukaryota; Metazoa; Chordata; Mammalia; Primates; Hominidae.